GAUGAACGCUGGCGGCGUGCCUAAUACAUGCAAGUCGAGCGAACAGAUAAGGAGCUUGCUCCUUUGACGUUAGCGGCGGACGGGUGAGUAACACGUGGGUAACCUAUCUAUAAGACUGGAAUAACUCCGGGAAACCGGUGCUAAUGCCGGAUAACAUGUUGAACCGCAUGGUUCUACAGUGAAAGGCGGCUUUGCUGUCACUUAUAGAUGGACCCGCGCCGGAUUAGCUAGUUGGUGGGGUAACGGCUCACCAAGGCAACGAUCCGUAGCCGACCUGAGAGGGUGAUCGGCCACACUGGAACUGAGACACGGUCCAGACUCCUACGGGAGGCAGCAGUAGGGAAUCUUCGGCAAUGGGCGCAAGCCUGACGGAGCAACGCCGCGUGAGUGAUGAAGGUCUUCGGAUCGUAAAGCUCUGUUAUUAGGAAAGAACAAAUGCAUAAUUAACUGCGCGCGUCUUGACGGUACCUAAUCAGAAAGCCACGGCUAACUACGUG
Molecule: ribosomal RNA, 497 nt
Filed under: uncultured bacterium
Lineage: Bacteria
Description: partial 16S ribosomal RNA
Rfam family: Bacterial small subunit ribosomal RNA
Source: RNAcentral